Molecule: ribosomal RNA, 492 nt
Filed under: uncultured bacterium
Lineage: Bacteria
Description: partial 16S ribosomal RNA
Rfam family: Bacterial small subunit ribosomal RNA
Source: RNAcentral
AGUGAGCGCUGGCGGUAGGCCUAACACAUGCAAGUCGAACGGCAGCACAGUAAGAGCUUGCUCUUACGGGUGGCGAGUGGCGGACGGGUGAGGAAUAAAUCGGAAUCUACUUUUUCGUGGGGGAUAACGUAGGGAAACUUACGCUAAUACCGCAUACGACCUACGGGUGAAAGCAGGGGAUCUUCGGACCUUGCGCGAUUGAAUGAGCCGAUGUCGGAUUAGCUAGUUGGCGGGGUAAAGGCCCACCAAGGCGACGAUCCGUAGCUGGUCUGAGAGGAUGAUCAGCCACACUGGAACUGAGACACGGUCCAGACUCCUACGGGAGGCAGCAGUGGGGAAUAUUGGACAAUGGGCGCAAGCCUGAUCCAGCCAUACCGCGUGGGUGAAGAAGGCCUUCGGGUUGUAAAGCCCUUUUGUUGGGAAAGAAAAGCAGCAGGUUAAUACCCCGCUGUUCUGACGGUACCCAAAGAAUAAGCACCGGCUAACUUCGUG